UUUACCCUGUUGCUUCCACUGGAUUGAGAGUUUCUAUANCUUGCGUGUGAGAAACUCUGGCGUGUGUUAAUAUUCACACUCCAGCCAGUGAGAGGACCAUUUAUAAAAACCUGUUAAGAACCAAUUGUCUGAAUAGUUUGCUCCAAUGAAAUAAAACUUUCAACAACGGAUCUCUAGGCUCUUGCAUCGAUGAAGAACGCAGUGAAAUGCGAUAAGUAAUGUGAAUUGCAGAAUCUCGUGAAUCAUCGAAUCUUUGAACGCACAUUGCGCCCUAUGGUAUUCCAUAGAGCAUGCCUGUCUGAGCGUCAGCUUCCCCACACUCAAGCGUCCUUUUUAAUGAUGCUUGGAUUGCUUUGGAGAGGUAUCAUUUUUAACAAGAAGCCCUCCAGAAAUUUAUAGGCAGUAUGGUUUGCACCAGCACCAGACGUAAUAAUAAUAAAAUCGUCGGUAUUGGUAUAAUCAUUGUGCUUGCCUUUGAAUCACCCAUAUUGAUUUUUUUGGGGUGACCUCAGAUCAGGUAGGGAUACCCCGCUGAACUU
RNAcentral lists this ribosomal RNA (539 nucleotides) under uncultured Peziza. RNAcentral's name for it is "eukaryotic LSU rRNA". The stretch from base 155 to 308 matches the Rfam family "5.8S ribosomal RNA". The record is from RNAcentral. Lineage: Eukaryota; Fungi; Ascomycota; Pezizomycetes; Pezizales; Pezizaceae.